UCUCAGUUCGGACUGUAGGCUGCAACUCGCCUACACGAAGCUGGAAUCGCUAGUAAUCGCGGAUCAGCACGCCGCGGUGAAUACGUUCCCGGGCCUUGUACACACCGCCCGUCACACCAUGAGAGUCUGUAACACCCAAAGCCGGUGGGAUAACCUUUAUAGGAGUCAGCCGUCUAAGGUAGGACAGAUGAUUAGGGUGAAGUCGUAACAAGGUACC
Molecule: ribosomal RNA, 217 nt
Filed under: uncultured bacterium
Lineage: Bacteria
Description: partial 16S ribosomal RNA
Rfam family: Bacterial small subunit ribosomal RNA
Source: RNAcentral